CCGUGAGGGAUGAAGGCCUUCGGGUUGGUAAACCUCUUUCAGCAGGGACGGAAGCGAAAGUGACGGUACCUGCAGAAGAAAGCACCGGCUAACUACGUGC
Molecule: ribosomal RNA, 100 nt
Filed under: uncultured bacterium
Lineage: Bacteria
Description: partial 16S ribosomal RNA
Rfam family: Bacterial small subunit ribosomal RNA
Source: RNAcentral